UGCAUUUGUAUUUUUAUUUUUUUUUCAUAAAGACGUAACCAAAUAUUUUGGAUAUGUAUACAUGUAUAUUCCAUAUUGCAACUGAAUUAUAGAUGCCUUUAAUCAGAGUUGGCCAAGUUACUAUCCAGAGGAGGAAAGUGUCAGUUAUAUAGGUCUAGUUUGAACCCUUGGCAAAAGGUUAUGGCAGGAACCUUAUUUUAUAAACAAAAAACAAAGAUAAUUUUAAUUACCUGAAGGCAAGACAGAAGUUAAAAGACUCCUUAACUUGCUCAACAUGAGAUCUGCAGUCAGAAAAAGAGGACAAUGUGACAAAGCUAAAGAGAAAAAGGACGGCCAGAAUUUGGUUUGGCGACACCUAUAGCUAUAGUGAUGAUAGUGGGUUCAAGAAAGGGUUCAAGAAAGACAAUAAAAAGCUCCCUGCCAGCUGCACCAGCAGUACCUAGCCCACCUUCAAUUUCACCUGCUACACAAAGACCUCAAGUAAGUGCAUCACCUAGCCAGUCUCCAGAUGACUGUGUUGAAGACUUCAUUCAGUCGCCUUCAAUGAUGGCACAGACACCAAGGAGAGUCACUGCUGUACCCACUAGACUAGAUUUCCCUCGACCAUCAAGAAGUGAAAUGCUCACUUUUACUCCCACUGGUAGAGUUGGGAGGACUGGAACUGCAUCUAUUCCCUGCACUGCUGCUGAGUGCCAUAUAAUGACCAUGCUUGAGAACAUCAAACAGCAGCAGCUACAGCUUGCUGUUGUGAACAACCUGGUGGAACAGUCCAAGGUGUUCGUCAGGACAGCAGUCCAGAAAUGCCUGAAGAAAUCAGCUUUCCACUUGCUACGACUAGUGAAGUAGAUGAACUUGAGGAGUGGGUGAAGGAAGCCCAAAAUAGAGGAGCAAAAAAAACCAGCUAUGUUUAUUUACUUAUUAAAAUAUAUUCUGAUCCAUAGACCUUUACCUCAUCAUUUUUUAUCUAUUUUAUUUUUAUCAUAUUUCAGUGAAAUCAUGUUCCCAAAUUCAACUGUUUUGACCUAACCAGCGGGGGUUUCGCUGUCGCUCGUCACUCUCGUAAUUUGUGGAAUCGUCACUAGUGACAAUCGUUUCUGUUUGUACUAUAAAAAAAAUCCCUUUUGUUAGUCACACACAACGUCUCUUUUUUUCAAAAGUAGGGAUCGCUAAACCAUAGAGUCACUGCUGCUGAUCAGAUCAGCGCCUCAGCCUCUUGAUUCAUUAACUCUGCAACGUUCUCGUGGUAGUGACGUAAAUGCAGUCAACCAAUCGGCACCUCAGAUUCAUGUCGCAUGUCAGUUACCAUGGUAACUGAAAAAAUAGGAGCACGCUAAAAGAGCAAUGAUCUUGUAUUGCCGGUGUACUAUAGACUCAAGUAAAUAUACAGAAUAUCGUAAUAAGUCAAGCAUUCACCAAGCAUCUGCUGUUAAGCUUAUAUAUUUAUUAUUAUAACAUCAUAAUCAUAUAAAACAAUGAAGCGAAUUCAUGUAGACGCGUGUAGUAACAGUUUAUUACGAUCUCCACCUCGACGUGGGGUAUGAACCACUUCAAUCCUCAUAAAUCUGAGAGUACAAACGCUAUGUUGUUGUUCAUUUAAAAUGUCUCUCUACAGCUGAUCGGAUGUCAUUAUUCCUAAUAGCGCUUUUAUGUUCACUUCUACGCGUUUUCAAUUCCCUAAUGGUCUUACCCACAUAGCACAGACCACAAGGGCAUUUCAACAAAUAGACUACAAACUUGGUAACUCAAGUAAUCCUACCUAUUACUUUAAACUGCUUAUUAGUUUUAGGAUGGGUAAUUGGAUCGCUUUUUAUCAUUGCAUUGCAACAAGCGCAAUUGUGACAAUUAAAGUUACCUUGCGGUAUCUGUGUUAAAACGUGAGACAAUGGAAUAAAAGUCUGCUUUAACAAAUACAUUUCUAAGAUUUAUUUGUCUUUAAUGGAAAACAUGGAGGAUACUGUAAAACAGAUCUUAAUUUGGGAUCGGUUGACAAUAUUUGCCAAUGAGUCUGUAUUAUGUUUUUCAUUGUAUUUGACAAAUACUGUUAGAUGUCGAUGGCCCCUCUCCUACAUUGAGUGCAGACUCAGAGUACCUCUUGCCGAAUGUUAUGUUGAGGUAAAAUGUUUUGAUUUUUUUUUUCUGUAACAAUCAUUACAUUUGUGUUGUAAAACAUGGGCUUGUAUGUUUUAAAGGGUAACUAAAGAUGUGUUUUUAUUGUUACAUGUUCCUCUGUGUUGCUACAAGGUGCAGAUAUUAAUUUUGUUUUGGACAUCUUGCCCAUUUUUUUUUUUUUUACACUUUUAAAUUGCAUUCCACGUUGGUUCUGUCCUCAAGAUGGCUUUGCAUCUCCCUGCGCAGAAAUACAUUUCCCAUCAUCCUCCAGCUCAUGAGCAGGAGGAUGACUGCAAAUGUACUUCUGAGCAGGGAGAUGAGAAGCCAUGUGAUUAAAACAAUACUCACGCCUUACUGAAACAGCUGUAGCAACGUAUGAGAACAUGUAGCAUACAACAAAAUACCUUGUGUUACCCUUUAAACUCGCAUGUAUUAUUGUUGUUUUAGUUGGGAACCUCUAUUGAAGGCUCCUUGAAGCCGAGUGACCAGAAAAACCAUCAGCUUGCCAGGACUCAAGCCUAUCUUCUGAGUAUUGGAGAUUGUGCUCCUGAGAAAUCCUUUUAUAUUAGAUCAGGUGGACAUGCAGUAAUUGUUGAACCCAAGAAGAUAAGCUCUGCCCUUGUACAGCCGGUCCAGUUUUAUGACAUGACAAAUGUGCGCUAUCCUCCCAAGCUCAGUAAAUUCUUCAGCUUUCUAGAAGUGUUUCUCUUUGGCAUAAACACUGUAUUAAUUGCUCAGAGCAAUUCCUUAUGGGGCAGCAUCCUAAAAGGUGGAUGUUCCAGAAAAGGAGUCCCACACAAGCAGAACAUUGCUGCCACUGUUAAAGGGGAACUGAAGGCAUUUUGUUUCAUUCUUGUUAUUGUUACAUGUUCCUGUGUGUUGCUAUGAACUGGUUAAGUAAGUUGUGUGUAUUGUUAUAUAUAUUUAUUUAUUUUGACCACUUUUUUUUAAACGUAUAAAUUGUCCUCCACUCAAGAUGUCUUGUCAUGCACCUACUCAAAACAUUUCCCAUCAUCCUCCUGCUAACGUGACUACAAUGGCUUUAGGGUGGGUGAUGGGAAAUGUAGUUUUGAGCAGGUGCAUGACAAGGCAUCUUGGAGCUAUCUUGUCAUGCUGGGCACGUGCGUCUGAUAAUAAAUAAAGAAUAAUCUUGGAGGCAAAAAAUUCCUUUAACAGCAGCAGCAUUUUUUUUUAGCCUGACCUCACAUAACUGCUGUUCAUCUUUCAUUUACUUCCCAGCUGAGGAAAAAGUGGCUCACCAGAUCUUAAAAAAUACUGAAUUAAUGUGAUUUAAUAUCUGUUAAAUAUGGACUAUUGUCUUGUCAUUUGGACCAUUUACCUUGUAUUUUGG
Molecule: long non-coding RNA, 3460 nt
Organism: Acipenser ruthenus (sterlet)
Lineage: Eukaryota; Metazoa; Chordata; Actinopteri; Acipenseriformes; Acipenseridae
Exons: 3
Source: RefSeq, a predicted model, not a curated record